UACAACUUAGGAAUAACUUACACCCCGGGCAAAGCCAAUGUCAUGGCUGAUGCGCUAAGUCGUAAAUCUUAUUGUGACAACCUGAUGUUACAACAAAGUCAACCACUUCUCCAUGAGGAAUUUCGUAAGCUUAAUCUUCACAUUGUUCCUCGAGGAUUCCUAUCCACCCUGGUGGCAAAACCUACCCUUACGGAUCAGAUCAUCAAAGCACAGAAGGUAGAUCCGGGAAUCUCCCGUAUUAAGAGAAACAUUAAGAAAGGAGUGGCGAAUUGGUUCUCCGUUGAUGAUCAAGGUGUCGUAUACUUUGGAAGCCGCUUAGUGGUUCCAAAGGCACGAAACCUGAGGCGGCUGAUCCUUAAGGAAGCUCAUGAAUCCCCUCUCACCAUUCAUCCCGGUAGUACUAAAAUGUAUCAAGACCUACGCCAGAGGUUUUGGUGGACUAGGAUGAAGAGAGAAACCGCUCAAUACAUUGCUAAUUGCGACGUUUGUCGUCGUGUUAAAGCAGAGCAUCAACGGCCUGCUGGCACCCUUCAACCUUUGGCUAUUCCUGAGUGGAAAUGGGAUAAAAUCAGUAUGGAUUUCAUUACUGGGUUUCCUAGGACCAAGAGAGGGAAUAAUGUCAUCUUCGUCAUGAUCGACCGUCUUUCCAAAGUAGCCCAUUUCCUACCUGUUCGUGAGAGUAUCACCUCUAGCCAGCUAGCUGACUUAUACAUCUCCCGAAUAGUGUCUCUUCAUGGUGUUCCAUUGGAAAUUAACUCAGACCGUGGAAGUCUCUUCACCUCUCGAUUUUGGGAAAGUUUCCAAAAUGCUAUGGGAACUCGUCUCUCUUUUAGCACCGCCUUCCAUCCUCAAUCAAGUGGUCAAGUAGAGCGAGUCAAUCAAAUUCUGGAAGAUAUGCUCCGAGCUUCUGUCAUCUCAUUCGGAAUGGGUUGGGAGAAAUGCCUUCCAUUCGCAGAGUUUGCUUAUAACAAUAGUUAUCAAGCUAGCUUGGGCAAAGCUCCUUUCAAAGUUCUCUAUGGACGAAAAUGUCGAACGCCUCUUAACUGGUCAGAAACCGGGGAAAGACAACUCUUUGGCCCGGAUAUGAUUCAGGAAGCAGAAGAGCAGGUUCACGUUAUUCGUGAGAAAUUGAAAACAGCCCAAUCUCGUCAAAAGAGCCAAUAUGAUCGUAAACAUAAGCUCAUGACUUAUGAAGCCGGCGAGAAGGCUUAC
This 1212-nucleotide ribosomal RNA is filed under the name Triticum aestivum (bread wheat). Its description in RNAcentral is "partial small subunit ribosomal RNA". The record is from RNAcentral. Lineage: Eukaryota; Viridiplantae; Streptophyta; Magnoliopsida; Poales; Poaceae.